This 218-nucleotide unclassified non-coding RNA is filed under the name uncultured Tomentella. RNAcentral describes it as "sequence contains ITS2". Lineage: Eukaryota; Fungi; Basidiomycota; Agaricomycetes; Thelephorales; Thelephoraceae. The record is from RNAcentral.
ACACCUCAACUCUCGUGGUUUGCCAUGAUGAGCUUGGACUUUGGGGGUUUUGUUGGCCUGUUGGCCAGCUCCUCUUAAAUGAAUUAGCUUGCCAGUGUUUGGUGGCGUCACAGGUGUGAUAACUAUCUACGCUUGUGGUUUCCCACCAGAUAACCUUCAGCAAUGGAGGUUCGCUGGAGCUUAUAAAUGUCUCUCCUCAGCGAGGACACAUUUUGACC